AUUGAACGCUGGCGGCAGGCCUAACACAUGCAAGUCGAGCGGAAACGAGAAUAGCUUGCUAUUCGGCGUCGAGCGGCGGACGGGUGAGUAAUGCCUGGGAAAUUGCCCUGAUGUGGGGGAUAACCAUUGGAAACGAUGGCUAAUACCGCAUAAUAGCUUCGGCUUAAAGAGGGGGACCUUCGGGCCUCUCGCUUCAGGAUAUGCCCAGGUGGGAUUAGCUAGUUGGUGAGGUAAGGGCUCACCAAGGCGACGAUCCCUAGCUGGUCUGAGAGGAUGAUCAGCCACACUGGAACUGAGACACGGUCCAGACUCCUACGGGAGGCAGCAGUGGGGAAUAUUGCACAAUGGGCGCAAGCCUGAUGCAGCCAUGCCGCGUGUAUGAAGAAGGCCUUCGGGUUGUAAAGUACUUUCAGCAGUGAGGAAGGGUGUGUAGUUAAUAGCUGCAUACUUUGACGUUAGCUGCAGAAGAAGCACCGGCUAACUCCGUGCCAGCAACCGCGGUAAUACGGAGGGUGCGAGCGUUAAUCGGAAUUACUGGGCGUAAAGCGCAUGCAGGUGGUUUGUUAAGUCAGAUGUGAAAGCCCGGGGCUCAACCUCGGAACCGCAUUUGAAACUGGCAGGCUAGAGUACUGUAGAGGGA
This 640-nucleotide ribosomal RNA is filed under the name uncultured Vibrionaceae bacterium. Its description in RNAcentral is "bacterial SSU rRNA". It matches the Rfam family "Bacterial small subunit ribosomal RNA", at positions 28 to 659 of the family's 1533-position model. The record is from RNAcentral. Lineage: Bacteria; Pseudomonadati; Pseudomonadota; Gammaproteobacteria; Vibrionales; Vibrionaceae.